AUUGAACGCUGGCGGCAUGCUUUACACAUGCAAGUCGAACGGUAACAGGCCUUCGGGUGCUGACGAGUGGCGAACGGGUGAGUAAUGCAUCGGAACGUACCCAGAGGUGGGGGAUAACGCAGCGAAAGCUGUGCUAAUACCGCAUGUGAUCUGAGGAUGAAAGCGGGGGACCGAGCAGCAAUGUUUGGCCUCGCGCCUUUGGAGCGGCCGAUGUCGGAUUAGCUAGUUGGUGGGGUAAAGGCCUACCAAGGCGACGAUCCGUAGCUGGUCUGAGAGGACGACCAGCCACACUGGGACUGAAACACGGCCCAGACUCCUACGGGAGGCAGCAGUGGGGAAUUUUGGACCAUGGGCGCAAGCCUGAUCCAGCAAUGCCGCGUGCGGGAAGAAGGCCUUCGGGUUGUAACCCGCUUUUGGCAGGAACGAAACGGUGUCCGCUAAUACCGGGCGCUAAUGACGGUACCUGCAGAAUAAGCACCGGCUAACUACGUG
Molecule: ribosomal RNA, 492 nt
Filed under: uncultured bacterium
Lineage: Bacteria
Description: partial 16S ribosomal RNA
Rfam family: Bacterial small subunit ribosomal RNA
Source: RNAcentral